Molecule: ribosomal RNA, 564 nt
Filed under: Vibrio parahaemolyticus
Lineage: Bacteria; Pseudomonadati; Pseudomonadota; Gammaproteobacteria; Vibrionales; Vibrionaceae
Description: partial 23S ribosomal RNA
Rfam family: Bacterial large subunit ribosomal RNA
Source: RNAcentral
CCUUGAAAUACCACCCUUGUAGUGUUGAUGUUCUAACGUCGACCCCUAAUCGGGGUUGCGGACAGUGCCUGGUGGGUAGUUUGACUGGGGCGGUCUCCUCCCAAAGAGUAACGGAGGAGCACGAAGGUGGGCUAAUCACGGUUGGACAUCGUGAGGUUAGUGCAAUGGCAUAAGCCCGCUUGACUGCGAGAAUGACAAUUCGAGCAGGUGCGAAAGCAGGUCAUAGUGAUCCGGUGGUUCUGAAUGGAAGGGCCAUCGCUCAACGGAUAAAAGGUACUCCGGGGAUAACAGGCUGAUACCGCCCAAGAGUUCAUAUCGACGGCGGUGUUUGGCACCUCGAUGUCGGCUCAUCACAUCCUGGGGCUGAAGUCGGUCCCAAGGGUAUGGCUGUUCGCCAUUUAAAGUGGUACGCGAGCUGGGUUUAGAACGUCGUGAGACAGUUCGGUCCCUAUCUGCCGUGGGCGUUGGAAGAUUGAAGGGGGCUGCUCCUAGUACGAGAGGACCGGAGUGGACGAACCUCUGGUGUUCGGGUUGUGUCGCCAGACGCAUUGCCCGGUAGCUAAG